AACUAUACCAGAAAUUGACUCUUUUUCUUGAUAUCGAGUCUAAAGGAUGAGAAGAAAAGAUGACUAUAUUUUUUCUUAUUGUUAACGAAUUUACUUAUAUUACUUUACUAUCAUUAGAUAUACAACUUACUAAAUUUAAAAAAAAGUAUAAUAAAAUGUUAGUAUUUCAACAAAUUUAGUGAAGAUACAUGUUGACAUGAUAUCAUAUGGUAUAUGAUCAGUGGCGG
RNAcentral lists this long non-coding RNA (227 nucleotides) under Solanum tuberosum (potato). RNAcentral describes it as "long non-coding RNA (STUB_LNC005097)". Lineage: Eukaryota; Viridiplantae; Streptophyta; Magnoliopsida; Solanales; Solanaceae. The record is from RNAcentral.